GGCUUUUUAUGGAAAACGUCUUACCGAUUUUAUUUCGGUAAGACAUUUUCCAUUUUCCUCCACUCUAUCACAACAGUCGUUCUCCUUCCUCUUUGUCGAUCAGCCUCCGCCUCUCCUCCUCGUCUCUAUUCGUUGGCCUCACCUCCGAAUUUGAGUCUUAUUAUCUCGUCGUCCUUACCAAGUCUGCAUUUUGAAGAAACUCCAAAAUCUAGCUUUCCAAUCCUAUCAAGGGUAAGCUGACCAAGAUUUUAAUUGGGGGUUUUGGUUGUUUUUCAAGCUUGGUUCUUGAAUUAGCUUUUUUUGGUAAUCUCUUGAAUUAGCUUUUGUGUGUAAGGGAAAGCGUAUUUGGUAUAUUUGGUUUUUGUUUUGUUAAAAGACUAGGAUUUUUUGGAAUUGGAAUUUGUUUCUUGAAUUGUUAAGAGAUUGGGAUUCAAGACCGAUUGCCAUUUUGGGUUUUUAUUUAGUAUAUAUAUAUCGGAAAAUAUUUUUCAUUUUUUCAUUUGUUUAAUAGUCUGUUUCCAAUUAUUUUUUCAUUUUCCGUUUGUUUUAAACUCUAAAUGUUAACCUUUUGUUUUACCGGAGAAGAACAAUAAGAAUAUUUUGUUGUAAUGCAGCAUGUUUGACACUAUAAAAUGCUAGUUCGUCUAUCAUUUUCUAUUGUCUGAAGUCUGAACUUUUGGGGUAAAUGUGAAGAUUCUAACUGUGUAAAGUUUCAUGUCUCUUGAAGCGCCAUUGGCUCGCAUGCAUCUUGUGAUGUAUGCACUGUUGUAAGGCUUGAGUUAGCAUCUUCCAUCCUUUGCAGGCAAUAGAAGUUUGUUUAUACUAUACUGCAGUGAGAAGAAACCUGUAUAUUUUUGCCUUUGUACUUCGAUUCAGACAUGCACACUCCGACUUGUUUGAUACUCUCUAAUUAUGCUACCGUGUUAUAGACCAAUAAAGCUGUAAAUUUGCUUUUAGUAAUGUAAUGUAUCUAUGCAUGCAUGACAUGAUGCAAACCUUGUAGGGCCA
Gossypium raimondii (Peruvian cotton) is the source of this 1008-nucleotide long non-coding RNA. RefSeq lists it as uncharacterized. The transcript has 2 exons. The record is from RefSeq and is a predicted model, not a curated record. Lineage: Eukaryota; Viridiplantae; Streptophyta; Magnoliopsida; Malvales; Malvaceae.